CACAUAACUCUUGAUGUUCUUCUGCUCUGUGCUCUGUGCUUGUGUAGUUUCUAAUGAUUCUUCUGCAUAGCUCUUAACAUUCUUCCACUCUGUGCUCUGCACUCAUAUAGUCUCUAACAAUUCUUUCAUAUAGCUUCUUACAUUCUCCCACUCUGUGUUCUGCACUCACAUAGUCUCUAACAAUUCUUCCAUGUAGCUCUCAAUGAUUUCUUCAUCCCACAUUUCAUACUUGUGUAGCUUCUAAUGAUUUUUACACAUACUUCUUAAUGUUCUUUCACUCCACACUUCACUGUGAAGUGGCUUCUGAUAUUCUUCUGUCUCAAACUUUCCUCUAUAAGAAUCCUCUUUAUAUGAUCUUUUCUUCUGAUUUCUUUUCUCUUUCUUUUCUUAAUCAAUUUGUAAUCUGUAAUUAG
RNAcentral lists this small RNA (413 nucleotides) under Histoplasma ohiense. RNAcentral's name for it is "hypothetical lncRNA". The record is from RNAcentral. Lineage: Eukaryota; Fungi; Ascomycota; Eurotiomycetes; Onygenales; Ajellomycetaceae.